Molecule: non-coding RNA, 45 nt
Organism: Nematostella vectensis (starlet sea anemone)
Lineage: Eukaryota; Metazoa; Cnidaria; Anthozoa; Actiniaria; Edwardsiidae
Source: Rfam
GCCAUGCUGACGAGUCCUAAAAAGGACGAAACAGCUGUCCAUGGU